Molecule: ribosomal RNA, 254 nt
Filed under: uncultured bacterium
Lineage: Bacteria
Description: partial 16S ribosomal RNA
Rfam family: Bacterial small subunit ribosomal RNA
Source: RNAcentral
UACGUAGGCAGCGAGCGUUGUUCGGAGUUACUGGGCGUAAAGGGUGUGUAGGCGGUUGUUUAAGUUUGGUGUGAAAUCUCCCGGCUCAACUGGGAGGGUGCGCCGAAUACUGAAUGACUUGGAGUGCGGGAGAGGAGAGUGGAAUUCCUGGUGUAGCGGUGAAAUGCGUAGAGACCCGGAGGAACACCAGUGGCGAAGGCGGCGUCCUGGCCUGCGACUGACGCUGUGGCGCGAAAGCUAGGGGAGCAAACGGG